AAAGUCGUAACAAGGUCUCCGUUGGUGAACCAGCGGAGGGAUCAUUAUAGAGUUUAUUCAACUCCCAACCCAUGUGAAUCUACCUUGUUGCUUCGGCAGGUCUUCGCAGCCCGCCCGGCGUUGUCGUUCCCUAACCGGAACACCUACCCGGGAGCUGCGGGGUAAGCCUGCCGGUAGCCCCACCAACUCUGUUUUAAUAUUGUACUUCUGAAUUUAUAACAUAAUACGUUAAAACUUUCAACAACGGAUCUCUUGGUUCUG
Molecule: unclassified non-coding RNA, 261 nt
Filed under: Ascomycota sp.
Lineage: Eukaryota; Fungi; Ascomycota
Description: partial contains small subunit ribosomal RNA, internal transcribed spacer 1, and 5.8S ribosomal RNA
Rfam family: Eukaryotic small subunit ribosomal RNA (bases 1-47)
Source: RNAcentral